UACGAAGGGGCUAGCAUUGCUCGGAAUGACUGGGCGUAAAGGGCGCGUAGGCGGCUCAUACAGUCAGAUGUGAAAUUCCUGGGCUUAACCUGGGGCUGCAUUUGAUACGUGUGGGCUUGAGUGGGGAAGAGGGUCGUGGAAUUCCCAGUGUAGAGGUGAAAUUCGUAGAUAUUGGGAAAGAACACCGGUGGCGAAGGCGGCGACCUGGUCCUUGACUGACGCUGAGGCGCGAAAGCGUGGGAGC
This 244-nucleotide ribosomal RNA is filed under the name uncultured bacterium. RNAcentral's name for it is "partial 16S ribosomal RNA". It matches the Rfam family "Bacterial small subunit ribosomal RNA", at positions 524 to 769 of the family's 1533-position model. The record is from RNAcentral.